RNAcentral lists this microRNA precursor (76 nucleotides) under Gasterosteus aculeatus (three-spined stickleback). RNAcentral's name for it is "mir-208 microRNA precursor family". It matches the Rfam family "mir-208 microRNA precursor family". The record is from Rfam by way of RNAcentral. Lineage: Eukaryota; Metazoa; Chordata; Actinopteri; Perciformes; Gasterosteidae.
UCUAGCAGAUCAGCUUUUUGUUUGUGUUAUGUUCAUACUAAAAUGUAAGACGAACAAAAAGUUUGUCUGUUGGAUG